This is a long non-coding RNA of Notolabrus celidotus (New Zealand spotty), 1394 nucleotides long. RefSeq lists it as uncharacterized. The record is from RefSeq and is a predicted model, not a curated record. The transcript has 6 exons. Lineage: Eukaryota; Metazoa; Chordata; Actinopteri; Labriformes; Labridae.
UUUGUUCGCCUGUAUUCACCUCUCUUUGACAGUUCAUUGAGUCUUACCUAAGUUUCUUCUCCUGCGUUCAACAGUGUUCCUCGCGUGUUCUUUCUUGGGAAUCUUCUGCUUUUGUCAAGUGGAUUUUUGUUGGAUUUUGUCAUUUGCACCCUGGACUUUGAUCAAAGGUGUAUUGCAGAAAUAUAGACCCCUUCAAAAUGGCAUGCUGAGAUCAAUUUCUGGGUACAGGGAGGAAGAGAAGAGGAGCUUUGAAUAGAAUUAUAAAGACAGACCUUCACAACGAGAGGGAGAGGGACUGAUAUAUUGCUCUGGUGAUGUAUUUUGGAACAAAGGCCUGGGCAGAAGCAAUCUGGCCGGUGGAGCCACAGGAUCAAUGUCACGCCCCUUAUCGCUAACCAAAGCACACUUUCAACUCACUGACAAAACGGCAAAGAACCCUCCGGGAGAACAUGCAGUCCACCAACAUCCAUCUUCACCGGGUACAUCAGAGCAUGAAGCAGCUGAAAGCUCUGAAGAGGAGCAAAGGCCAGAGCAAAGACAGACUGACUCCAAGAUAAGGACCACCAAACUGCUGCUCCCUUGAGCUUUUCUUUGGGAACCAUACAAGACUUAAACCAGGGUUACAGAUGCUGGUAAGACAAGCAGGAGAAAAAGAAGGCAUCUUGCUGGAACUGAGUCGUGUGUCAUCACUCCAGUGCGCCCUGUCUGCUGCUGAAUGUCACCGCUCACAUCUUCAACACCAUAAACAUUGAUGAGACUACGCUCAAAAUCAUUUCACAGUCUGCAGUUUCCAUCAAACCCCUCUCUGCAAUUUGCCCUCAGUCAUGUACAUCUCCAUCCAGAUAAUGUGUUAAUCUUCUCUACAGUGAAGACGGGGACUCUGGAGAUCACUUGUCUAUUUCAUGGGUAGUUUCCCACAGAAACUGAAAGGGAGGCACAGUAACUUAAUUAAUCUAAACAUUGUAAGUCAGAUUUCACAAGAAUCUUUUCUUGUGAUGAAACAUUAUCGCGGCAAUAGGUAGAUUUGCAGUGUGCGAUAUAGAUUAAAUUGAUUACACUGGAGUGUCUUAAUAGAACAAAAUCCAUCACAAAUCAAUCCAUCACUAGCUCUAUUGAAAGAAAAAUACAAAGUAGAAGGGGCAAGAAAGCAGCGGUAAAGUCGAUUGUAAUGUCAGUCUAACUAGUCUGGUGUCUGAAAAUAAAUAGGUGCAUAAGUGCAACAACACCCAUUUGGUCUUUGCAAAGCUUUUUUUGACCAUGAACUGAAUAAAACAUUGACGUAGUCUGACUGACGUUCCCCUUUAGUUUUAAAAGAGGUGUUAAUGAGUACAAAGAUGGCAGUUUCUGUAUUGGAAAUGUUUAAACUUCUGGCUAAGCUAGAAUUGGACCAAUGG